RNAcentral lists this ribosomal RNA (429 nucleotides) under Actinomycetes bacterium. RNAcentral's name for it is "Actinobacteria bacterium partial 16S ribosomal RNA". It matches the Rfam family "Bacterial small subunit ribosomal RNA", at positions 355 to 776 of the family's 1533-position model. The record is from RNAcentral. Lineage: Bacteria; Bacillati; Actinomycetota; Actinomycetes.
UAGGGAAUCUUCCGCAAUGGGCGAAAGCCUGACGGAGCAACGCCGCGUGAGUGAUGAAGGUCUUCGGAUCGUAAAACUCUGUUAUUAGGGAAGAACAAAUGUGUAAGUAACUAUGCACGUCUUGACGGUACCUAAUCAGAAAGCCACGGCUAACUACGUGCCAGCAGCCGCGGUAACACGUAGGUGGCAAGCGUUAUCCGGAAUUAUUGGGGGUAAAGCGCGCGUAGGCGGUUUUUUAAGUCUGAUGUGAAAGCCCACGGCUCACACGUGGAGGGUCAUUGGAAACUGGGAAACUUAAGUGCGGAAGAGGAAGGUGUAGUACCAUGUGUGGCGGUGGAAUGCGCAGAGAUAUGGGGGAACACCAGUGGCGAAGGCGACUUUCUGGUCUGUAACUGACGCUGAUGUGCGAAAGCGUGGGGAUCAAACAGG